CUACCAAUCAACGAGCAACAAAUAAAAGUUUGUAACAAUUCCAAGGAAAAGAAAAAAAAUAAAAAGGGGAAACGCUUAUUCACCUGUCAAAAUAACAAAUACACUCGCAACAAAGAAGAUGUUAUUGGAGUCAUCUCCAACAUAUUCGUCAAAACAGUUCCACAUCACACAUUUCUCAAGAGAUUCAAUUGCCAAUUGUAAAAUUUAAGUCAAAAAAGGAACAUCUACUGCCUCUAAAUGUAUUUGACCAAGUAGAUUCCCUGUAACAGCUAAAAACUGUAACCCCUAGAAGAACAGCUCUUAGCACCAUUUGAUUCACCCGUAUAGUUGUUGCAACCAAAAGCACAGGCAAAUUUCCAGUGCCUGCAACCUUGAUAUACAAUGACUAAUCUAUGUUCCUAAAUAUGAUCUGUAUAUGAUUUGUGAAGGAAGUGAAUUUCCGAGUGAUUAGAGAAGGUACACCUGUUUUGAUAACCCCCACUUGGAUCCAAUGGUACAAAACUUUCAAAUCUUAAUUGGCCAAACAUAGUUUUGAACUACACAUGCUGUACUCCAUAUCAAUAUUUGGCUCAUUUUUUAUCAAUUUCAGCACCUCCAACGAAUGUGUGAGCUCAGGAUUUUCUGUACUGAGUAUGAUUAGCUUAUGCUAUUGGUCUUUUAUUUCAUGUAUUCCAACACACUUUGGGUGAUGUCUUCAAGGAAAGAAACAAAACCCAUGACACUUGUGAAGCCAUUGCCAUCAACAUCCUGUUCCUCAAUGAGGUAAUUCUCAAAUGCUGAGGCAUCAUCCUGCCCUCCCCGGAUAAAAAUCAAUUUUGGAGUUAUACUCCUCUCUUGCUUCAAUUUGUUUAUUGUAGUUCUCAACAAACAAUCCUGGGGUGGAGGAAAAGGAAGUGCAGGAUCUGCUGUAGAUGAGUAGAAUACAAUUAGAGUUGUAAAUGCAUCAAGGAAAAAUAUUGGACUACCACUGGUAAUUAAAGCAGCACGGCUCAAAGAGUGGCGAGGAUAUGCUUGUUUAUCUGGUGUAGAAUAUGACAUUAGUACCGGAUAUACAGCACGAUGAAGGGAACUUGGUUCAAGUGCACUGAAAAGACACUGUAGGUAGAUCCGGUAGUCAGGGUGGACACCUUCUUCGUGGAAGCGCAGAAGAGGAUUUCGAAGCAAAGCAAAAACUAGACGAGGUAAGGGCUGCAGUUGUGGGCAUUGUGAGAAUGCAACAUCAAUCUGACCAGUUACUGAACUCCCGUUCUUAAACUGAACCAGUUUACAAGCAUCAUUAUAUUGAGCUGUGAGGAUUACAAGCCAAUCAUGAAGCAGCAUCCUGCCCUCCCGAACCCCUUGCUCCAGAGAUGCUAAUAUAACCUUGUGAACAAGAACUGAUAGAACAGCUUCAGAAUCAACACUGUCAUAGAGUUCGUGAACAUUUCGAGCAGCACCAAAUUGCAAAGUUCGGAUCCUCAAUCGCCGUUUAAGGGCAUGCUUCCCUCCACUUGCAGAAACCAAUCCUGAACUUGAAAGCUCUUCAGGAGGCACAACAACCGUGUACUGAAAUGCAAUCUGAAGCACGGGUUGUUCUGAUGCAUGUCUUGAAAAGCCAUCUGUACUCGCAAAAUCAAAGUCAUAGACAUAUGUAGCAUAAGAAUCACAACAAAUAAUGUGCUGAACAUUUUCGUAUUGUGGAUCUGGGAAGAAAUGACCAUACUGCAAUAAACAGUCUAAGCAUGUCACAAAUUUGGUGAAACUCAUUGACUUAUUAAAGAAAAUGAAAGCCACUUACAGAAUGACCAGGCUUAAAUUCAGAAGAUGUCCUCAAUCGAAGUAUACAACCAAAAGCAUAUGGUCGACUUAACAUCCGAUAACUACAAAAGUACAAGCACAAAACUAUACCUGAACAACAGACCCACUAAAAAUGAUCAUAAUAUCACUUUUUCAAGUGAACUCAUAUUUGCAUUAUAUAGAACAUCUAUAAGGUUUUAUUCGUAAUACAUGCAUACUGUAUGCCUUACAGAUGAUAAACAUAAUGCUUUCAUUAAAAUUAUUUGAAAAAUAUAAAUUAUAAAUGUUAUUUUCAUUAAUGUGAUAAAAUAUAAAUGACAUGUUGAGCACUGAUUACUAGUACAUAGAUACUCACAUGUCCUGAGGAAGUGUUGAGUCAUCAGUAUUUGAAUACAGAAACAAUGAGCCUCCACUUUCAAUGCUAAGAAACUUAAGGGAUGCUAAAUCUGUGUACUCAUUUGUAACAGCAAAGAUGUCCACGCAAACACCAGCUUGAACAGCGACAGCAGCCAGAUCUCUGUAGAAUGGUGUCUGCUCUGGCAGCAAAGCCCUGUCUGCAUCCUCACCCUUACUAGCAUAUUGUUCACCAUACCUCCUUGUGUCUAACUGCCCGGCUCCAUAAUCAGGAGGACCAGAUAUAAAGGCAAAGACUCUAGCUGCAAUCAUUUUCAAUCAAGCAGCAACAUGAUUCACAUCUUCAAAUACAUAAACUUUCUAAACCAAUGAGAAAACAAUUGGUCAUUCAUUAUUGUAAUUCUAAGCAACUAAAAUGGAACAUGAGCUUUAAACAGCAACACAGACCUAAAGCAAAUAUGUUUCCGUACUCUGAUCCAAGGUACUUAAAUAGGGCUUCCAUUGCAACACCGAAACCCCGCCCACCCAUCAAAACACCAUCUAGCCCUUGACCUGCACCUGUGGUUCUUUCCCAUGCAGUUGUUGGCCUAAGUGUGUCAAGUGCAACUGUAAUACGGUCUUUACAAGUAUCCACUGGGGCCAAGAAUUGUAGUAAAGGCAUGGCAUCUUCAAGCUCAAUUGGCAGGGUG
This 2819-nucleotide unclassified non-coding RNA is filed under the name Hevea brasiliensis (rubber tree). The record is from RNAcentral. Lineage: Eukaryota; Viridiplantae; Streptophyta; Magnoliopsida; Malpighiales; Euphorbiaceae.